CAUUAAGUUUCUUAAAUGCAAGAAUUGGUCUCUUAAACUAAAAUAUGGUAUAUUAGCAAAUACUCUUAAUGA
This 72-nucleotide transfer RNA is filed under the name Typhlocyba choui. RNAcentral describes it as "tRNA-Lys". Lineage: Eukaryota; Metazoa; Arthropoda; Insecta; Hemiptera; Cicadellidae. The record is from RNAcentral.